GUCCGCCAUUUUGCCGCUCAAGCUGAAGCAUACUGUCUUGCUUUGCUCAGAUCGUUAUCAGAUUUUUUGUGUAGAUGUGUGAACCCUGUGACCUGUUGAAAGGUGCAGGGAUUCAUACGAUUCAACGGUCAGGUUUUUGAUUUUGCCGAAACCUGACCUAGAAUUCUCCGGUGUCAGAGAGGACAUCGAAGAACCAAGAUUCCAGUCAACUGGAUGGCGAGCCAACCUAUGAUCCUUCAAAAGAAAUUGGACUUCCACGUUCCUCACUCCACAGUGUGGAACAAGUGGAUAUUGCCAUAAGCGCAUUCUGACCCUUCGUGCACUCCCUGUGUACCUACAGGAGGAUGGCUCACAAUUCUUCCAGACCUUCUGUGUAAGUACUCAAUUCACG
Pleuronectes platessa (European plaice) is the source of this 391-nucleotide long non-coding RNA. RefSeq lists it as uncharacterized. The record is from RefSeq and is a predicted model, not a curated record. The transcript has 3 exons. Lineage: Eukaryota; Metazoa; Chordata; Actinopteri; Pleuronectiformes; Pleuronectidae.